AUGCCUAGUGGCAUGAUCAAAGCCGAUGAUCCCGUUUCUUUUCCCGUCCCCCCGCCCCGGCAUAGCGCUUCGCUUCCCGUUAUUCGGAAGAAUAAACUGACUUAUCCCUUCUUCAUUGAUCUGGGGGAAAAGGAACCGUCUACCAGUUGGCAAGCUAGACAUCAAGUAAGUGGCUUGAUGAGGAUAACUAAGCUGACACGCCGGAGUUGGCUGCUGGCACAACAGGGUGGUGCCUUACCGCACCGCAGGCGAACGCGCGGUAGCGUUCGUGGUGGUGCUUCAGGAUUCCAAUGUACUGCGUCCAAGAUCAGAACGAGCUUGCCGGCGGACCACUGCCGUCCCAUUCUUGAGUGA
Molecule: long non-coding RNA, 354 nt
Filed under: Vicia faba (fava bean)
Lineage: Eukaryota; Viridiplantae; Streptophyta; Magnoliopsida; Fabales; Fabaceae
Source: RNAcentral